GCGACAUUAGCUCAUCCGGAUAGAGCAUCAGCCUUCUAAGCUGAGGGUGGUGGGUUCGAGUCCCGCAUGUCGCA
RNAcentral lists this transfer RNA (74 nucleotides) under Treponema sp. RNAcentral's name for it is "tRNA-Arg". It matches the Rfam family "tRNA". Rfam says of the family: Transfer RNA (tRNA) molecules are approximately 80 nucleotides in length. Their secondary structure includes four short double-helical elements and three loops (D, anti-codon, and T loops). The record is from RNAcentral. RNAcentral also lists the same sequence under 1 other name. Lineage: Bacteria; Pseudomonadati; Spirochaetota; Spirochaetia; Treponematales; Treponemataceae.